AAGACUAUAGACCUGCGGAGUACCUGCGGAGGGAUCAUUAUCAAUUUACAGCGGACUUCGGUCCUGUCUGCACCCUUGUCUUUUGCGUACUAUAUGUUUCCUCGGUGGGCUUGCCUGCCGAUAGGACACUUAUAAACUCUUUUGUAAUUGCAAUCAGCGUCAGAAAACUAUAAUAGUUACAACUUUUAACAAUGGAUCUCU
RNAcentral lists this unclassified non-coding RNA (201 nucleotides) under soil metagenome. Its description in RNAcentral is "partial contains 5.8S ribosomal RNA, internal transcribed spacer 2, and large subunit ribosomal RNA". The record is from RNAcentral.